Molecule: ribosomal RNA, 609 nt
Filed under: Glomus sp. MS
Lineage: Eukaryota; Fungi; Glomeromycota; Glomeromycetes; Glomerales; Glomeraceae
Also listed under: 1 other name
Description: SSU rRNA
Rfam family: Eukaryotic small subunit ribosomal RNA
Source: RNAcentral
GGAUCAGCAGGUUGGUCUUGCCACUGGUAUGUACUAGCUUGCUGAUUCCUCCUUCUUGUAGAACCGUAAUGCCAUUAAUUUGGUGUUGCGGGGAAACAGGACUGUUACUUUGAAAAAAUUAGAGUGUUUAAAGCAGGCUAGCGCCUGAAUACAUUAGCAUGGAAUAAUGAAAUAGGACGUUCGAACCUAUUUUGUUGGUUUCUAGGAUUGACGUAAUGAUUAAUAGGGAUAGUUGGGGGCAUUAGUAUUCAAUUGUCAGAGGUGAAAUUCUUGGAUUUAUUGAAGACUGACUACUGCGAAAGCAUUUGCCAAGGAUGUUUUCAUUAAUCAAGAACGAAAGUUAGGGGAUCGAAGACGAUCAGAUACCGUCGUAGUCUUAACCAUAAACUAUGCCGACUAGGGAUCGGAUGAUGUUAAUUUUUUAAUGACUCAUUCGGCGCCUUACGGGAAACCAAAGUGUUUGGGUUCCGGGGGGAGUAUGGUCGCAAGGCUGAAACUUAAAGGAAUUGACGGAAGGGCACCACCAGGGGUGGAGCCUGCGGCUUAAUUUGACUCAACACGGGGAAACUCACCAGGUCCAGACAUAGUAAGGAUUGACAGAUUGAGAGC